GGGUUAUGGGGCUGCUUGGGGUGGCCACCUGUCUGGCAGACAGGAUAUCAGAUCGGUUCGAAUCCGAUAUGAUCCACCA
RNAcentral lists this transfer RNA (79 nucleotides) under Bacteroidales bacterium. Its description in RNAcentral is "tRNA-Ala". The record is from RNAcentral. Lineage: Bacteria; Pseudomonadati; Bacteroidota; Bacteroidia; Bacteroidales.